Molecule: ribosomal RNA, 741 nt
Filed under: uncultured archaeon
Lineage: Archaea
Description: bacterial SSU rRNA
Rfam family: Archaeal small subunit ribosomal RNA
Source: RNAcentral
UUCCGGUUGAUCCUGCCGGAGGACAUUGCUAUUGGGAUUCGAUUUAGCCAUGCUAGUCGAGCGAGUUCAGACUCGCGGCGAAUAGCUCAGUAACACGUGGCCAAGCUCCCCUUCAGUCAGCGAUACCCUCGGGAAACUGAGGUUAACAGCUGAUACAAAACGCCAGCUGGAAUGCGGCGUUUCAGAAAGACACCGCUGAAGGAUGCGGCUGCGGCCGAUUAGGUAGACGGUGGGGUAACGGCCCACCGUGCCAGUAAUCGGUACGGGUGAUGAGAGUCAGAGCCCGGAGACGGAAUCUGAGACAAGAUUCCGGGCCCUACGGGGCGCAGCAGGCGCGAAACCUUUACACUGCACGGAAGUGCGAUAGGGGAAUCCCAAGUGCGAGGGCAUAUUAGCCCUCGCUUUUCUCGACUGUAAGGUGGUCGACGAAUAAGAGCUGGGCAAGACCGGUGCCAGCCGCCGCGGUAAUACCGGCAGCUCAAGUGAUGUCCCAUAUUAUUGGGCCUAAAGCGUCCGUAGCUGGCCGACCAAGUCUACCGGGAAAUCCACCCGCCCAACGGGUGGGCGUCCGGUAGAAACUGGCCGGCUUGGAACCGGAAGGCUCAGAGAGUACGUCCGGGGUAGGAGUGAAAUCCCGUAAUCCCGGACGGACUACCGAUGGCGAAAGCACUCUGAGAAGACGGCUUCGACAGUGAGGGACGAAAGCUCGGGUCUCAAACCGGAUUAGAUACCCGGGUAGUC